UCCAAGCUCACAGGUGUUCGUACCUACGUAGCUUCAGGUAAUCAAUGUGCAGCACGUAAUGGAUAUUCAAAGGCAAGACUACACGCACAGAGUACGCAGCAAGGACGCGCUACUACUACGGCCAAGACAGAACAGGAGCCGCCGCAUCCAGAAAUGAAGGCGAAUUGAACGCAUUCAUCGAGAGAGAUGAAUGAGCGCGCUGGUGACGCGGUGUGGGGGAACGCGCGCACCUUGAUGAGGAUAUCGCGGGAGUCCUUGGGCAGCCAGCGCGGGUAGAAGGGGUCGUCCGUACGGAUGGACUGGAAGAGCUCCUCCUCGUCGUGCCCGUGGAAGGGAGACUGACCAAUCAGCAUCUCGUACAGCAGCACCCCGAAGGACCACCAGUCCACCGAGGUCCCAUACUUCUGUCCCAGCAGGAUCUGCAACAGAGGUGACCCCCCGUGGAGAGCCCCAGCUCAUCGUAAUCCCCCACAACACCAGCCCCAGUCCCCUGUGUUCCUCUCCGGUGAGCCACAGCCCUUACC
Long non-coding RNA from Anguilla rostrata (American eel), 524 nucleotides. RefSeq lists it as uncharacterized. The record is from RefSeq and is a predicted model, not a curated record. NCBI's taxonomy places the organism in Eukaryota, Metazoa, Chordata, Actinopteri, Anguilliformes, Anguillidae. The transcript has 4 exons.